Molecule: long non-coding RNA, 18026 nt
Filed under: Homo sapiens (human)
Lineage: Eukaryota; Metazoa; Chordata; Mammalia; Primates; Hominidae
Description: HSALNT0001913
Source: RNAcentral
AAAACUCAAGGACAAAAUGUUAAAAAUGUUCUUUCUCUUAAUAGUUACUUCUUAAUAUCAAUAAUGACUUAAUAUGCAUACUUUUUCUUUUGAGACAGGGUCUUACUCUGUCUCUCACUCUGUCAUUCAGGCUAGAGUGCGAUGGCAUGAUCUCGAUUCACUGCAGCCUCGACCUCCUGGGCUCAGGUGAUCCCUCCUGCCUCAGCCUCCUAUGUAGCUGAAACUACAGGCAUGUGAUACCAUGCCUGACUAAAUUUUGUUUCUUUUUUGUAGAGACAAGAUCUUGCUGUUGUCCAGGCUGGUCUCGAACUCCUGGGCUCAGCAAUCCUCUUGCCUUGGCCUCUCAAAAGUGCUGGGAUUACAGAUGUAGUCACGGCAUCCAGCAGCAUACCUUACUUUACAAAGCACUCUACAGAUCCAUUAUUUCACUGGUUUCAAGUGCAAGUGAAAAAAGUUGCAUAAAGACUUGCAUCGGCCAGGCACAGUGGCUCAUGCCUGUAAUUCUAGCACUUUGGGAGGCCAAGGUAGGCAGAUUGCUUAAGCUUAGGGGCUCAAGACCAGCCUUGGCAACAUAGUGAGACCCCCGUAUCUACCAAAAAAAAAAAAAAAAAUAGAAAAAAUUAGCUGUGCGUGGUGGUGUAUGCCUGUGGUGCCAGCUACUUGGGAGGCUGAGGUGGGAGGAUCACUCGACCUCAGAAGGUCAUGGCUGCAGUGAGCCAUGAUCGUGCCACUGCACUCCAGCCUGGGCGACAGACUGUCUCAAAAACAAAACAAAGACUUAAACUGCAUUUAUAGUUUAAAAAAAAAAAAGCAACAAUCAAAUUGGAAUGCUUUUUUUUAUUUCUAUUUUAUCCUGUGCCAGAAACAAGUCAACAGCACAGAACCCUGAUCUGAACAAGUAUGAUUCACCACUGAGUAAUAUCAAUAAAACUGGAUUUUGUAGUGAAAUAGUUACCAUACAAAGACAUUCAACAGCCAUAAUGACUAUUUUCUAAGACUAUGUAUAGCAUUAUACCACUGAUGCCUGGGAUAUGAGUUACAAAAUUAAAAUUGCCUAAAGCGUCACAUGAAAAAUUUAACCUAGGUCUGGACUAUGUUCUACUAGCCUAAUAAAUUGGACAGACACAGUAGGAAAUUCUAGAGAAUAAUGUUUCACCUUAAAAUGUUCAGGCAGUAGAGAGAAUGCAAAAUUCUGGGAGCCUUGCUCAAGUUACAUUAAAAAUUCAUCACAACAGUGAAGGCUCAUGCAUUUGGUGAUUUAAAUGAAUUAAAUUUAAAACUAUAUGUAACUCUAGAUGUGCUGCCUCCUCACUGGGGAGCUAUCCAACUCUGAAGGAUAAAAUCAGAAUUAAAUAUCUGUGCACAGAAGUUAGGUCCAUCCGAUCUUCACUUGGGGAGCUUCACAGUUGGUUCCAAAGCAGACAAGACUCCAACUGGGAGAUUUCCACAGCUGUACCAUGAAUGGUCAUCGAGGACACGGGCUUCCCAACAGGGCUGAUACCAACUCACCAAGGUGGGUUGUGCCUGCUGCCUCCAGUUCCUCUGCCCUCCAUCAGUCCUUCAUCCUUGCAACUGAAUUUCCACCCUCUCUACUCUACAGGCAUCCAAUUCCCAUGGCUAUCACUAAUACCAUAAUUACAAAACCCAACAGUUCUUCAGGCUUUAUUUGCCCCAAGUUUCUCCUUCACAUUUGACAACUUGGUAUUUCUUUCAUUCUUAGAAUUCCUCGUCCCAGCCUUAAGACACUACUAUCUAGAAUCUCACCCUUUUGCAGAGUCUUCCUCUUCUUCCUGCCCCUACAUAAGAGGGCCCUUCCUAGGAAACUGAAGACUGGAACCAUGCUUUCACACUAGGUUGAAGAAAGGCUUUGACAAAAGCAUAUGACUAAGCUGAGGGCACAGACCCUAGGGAACAGGGUAGAUGUUGAACUCACUAUGCUCAAGGCUGAGAGAAGAACCAGAACACUCUGGAGCAAAAAGAGCCUUGAAGGUCAUCUCCGUCACCUGCACUUCAGGUAAGAAUGAGCAAUGCAUUAUAAUAUACAGCCUUUCAAAUUUUUCAAAGUCAAAGGUGUCUUUCGUGACAGCAGGCCAGCUGUGGCACUAGUAUCACUCAGGAUACAUCUGGUUUGGAGUAAAGUUAGAGUUCUCAAAGCAAGAUGAAAAGGCUUAACUGGGAGGAGAAAAGUAUAAAGUACAUGUUAAAUGACUCCUAUAAAAUUUUUAAAAAUUACAAUCUGUAAUAGAUUGUGUUGGUAAGGAAGAGGAAUCGAUGGAUAAUGGCAAAGUUGUUAUCUUAAGAAUGGCCAAGUGCAGGCCAGGUGCGGUGGCUCACGCCUGUAAUCCCAACACUUUGGGAGGCCGAGGCAGGCAGAACACGAGGUCAGGAGCUCGAGACCAGACUGACCAACACGGUGAAAUCCCAUCUCUACUAAAAAUACAAAAAUUAGCCAGGCGCGGUACCACCGCGCCUGUAAUUCCAGCUACUCAGGAGGCUGAGACAGGAUAAUCGCUUGAACCCAGGAGGCGGAGGCUGCAGUGAGCCUAGAUCCCGCCACUGCACUCCAGCCUGGGUGACAGAGCGAGACUCCAUCUCAAAAAAAAAAACAAAAGAAUAGCCAAGUGAUGCUAUGUGUGAGAUGGUGAAGGUCGACUGGAAUUAGACCUCAGCUCUGCUGCAUAUGUGCCUAGUAGUUUAACGUUCUACAGUUGGGUUGAUGAUAGAGAGGAAGAGAGAAGCUGGAAAUGGAUACCUAAAAUUAAGUUUUCCAUAAGGAAUUAACAGUUCAUUUCAAUAUUCUUAAUGUAUGCUUUAAUGUAAGAGAAUGACUUGGUACUCUGGAAGUCAUCAAAUGUCAUUAACAAAAGAACUGGGAGACUUGGGCAGAAGGACUGAUGGGGGCACCAGUGUGCCUCAACCAGAAAUGCUUUCAGAAAGGUUUGCAGCGGGGUGGGUGUGGUUAUCAGAGGAUCACAAGUGGCUGUUACAACUGGUCAAGGCGCGAUCAGUGGCAAAGCAAGCCCCAUAGAUCUGAAGUAGUAAGACACUGCAACAGUUAGUUUUUAUAAAAGUUAACAUGCCAUGCAUUUUCUAUAGUUUCCUUUUUCACUUAAAAUAACUUUGAAACUUAUCUGACAGUAAAAAAUUCUGUUAAGCUCGUUUGGCAUAAUUUCAAAUCUUUUUCUGCAGUUAAAGUCACCAAGAACUAUCUGUAAUCCUGGAGGCAAAUUAUAAAAAUAAAACCUCUCUGGUUUUAGGUAGCUCAUGGUAUUAAAACACAACUCUAGGUUUUGCUUCCAACAGAAACAAUGGAAAAGUUUUAGAUUUUGCAGUUCUGCAGAUUGCAGUAUAAAUUCCUGAAAUGCUUGCUUCCCACCAGGGGGGCUGUUGCACAGCCUCUGCAGCUGUGGAGGCUGCAGGCUACCCUAACUCUUCCAAAUGUCAGGCUGAUAGGAGAAUAGCAAAGAUCCAUCGGAAGGGAGUCCGAGCUUUUAUGCUGUCAGAAAAAGGCUUUCAGUGGUUUUGACUGGAUAAUUCCACAUCUUAAGAAAGGGCUUCCCAAACAAACUUCACCAAAUUCAAGAUAAGAAAGCAUUAAGUUUCCUUACCUUCUUUGGAGCCUCAAAAAGUGUUGUGGCAUGAACAAAAUGAUUUGGGAGAAUAAUUAAAUAUAAACAAGAUGCUGACCUGUUCUACUUCAUAAUCAAUUUCUAGGUUUCUUUCUCACGUUUUUUUAGUAGCCUGAAAAAUGUACCUAAAAUCUGAAAACCUUACAUAUAAAUAGUGACGAGGCAACUACAAAAUAAAGAACCUAAUUCAACUUAUGGACUCAGCCCCCCGUGGCUGAAAAAACCAAAGUGGGAGGUGUUGUAGAGGAGGUGCAUUUCCAGUACCUGGCAACCCUGAAAACAGAAGAGACAGCCACGCCCUCGAGAAUUGCUUACUCUCAGCUAAGAAGAAAAUCAUGUUUCCCCCUUUAAAGCCCAUGACAAAUUUUACAAUACUGCAUCCUGAUGAAUUAACUACAACAUCGUUUUAAAAUAUUUUCAAGGAGUAAAAAUUUGACAUAAAUAUGAAACAAGAUACAAUGAAAACACUCAAAAUUCAUUCUUCACAUUUGGUUACAGAAAUGCCCAUAUGAACAAUGGUCAAGCCACAUGACUAAUUAAUCAAAUCAGGCUACGAUAUAUCCACAGAGAUAAAUUUAAGGAAAAUCAAGAGGAUAUACAUUCAGAUUUUGGCAGGUGGCUCCCAGUGAGAGAGUAUUGAUAAGGGUAUGAUAUUUCUAUCUGAUUGUAUUUUCUCAGAUGAGCACUUGGUUACAUUACACACAAAAAAAUGAAUACAUGAUUUUUCAUAAAGAAGACGCCAACAAAAGUAAAAACAAUGAGAUAAUUGAAAAUGUUUUUAUUGGUUGAGACAAAAUAUAACACUUUAAAAUUUUGUAAAAUACGCAGUUUUACAAGUGCUAUUUGGAAAAAGCCUCUACUUUGUACUUGGCCUAGAUGGCAAAAAGUACUGCUCAAGUGUUUCUCUCUUGUCUACUGCCUACCCAUAAAACUCAGGAAAACCGUUCAGGAAAAAAACCACAAUCCCCAGUAACAUCAAACCCACAAUGGACACACAGUUAUAAAGACUUUAAAGGGAUUAAAAAUACAAGAGAUACCAUUAAAUAGCCAAAAAUGCUUAGCAUUCAAAUUACCCUGUUAACCUUUUGGUAGACAUCUUUCAAUUCCAUGCUACACAUCAUCACUUCAAACAAAAAAAUCAUCUGUUUCCUCUUUCCAAACAGCCACAUACCCCAUAUUCUUUUUCCUGUUCACCGCACUUGGUUCUUAUACCCAUCAUUAUUUAAAUCAAAUAUCUAAUUUAAACAAUCAUGUUGAAUGCCUGCCAGUAUUAACCUAAGGGUCGAUGUCUUGGCAGUUGGCUGUGAUCAUCAUUCUUUACCUCAGCCUUUAUUUUGCUUCUCUUAAAAAUGCAAAGACUAAGCAACGGCAUUUGAAUAUGCCACAUUUUAGCAGAGGUUUAUAAAAACAAGAGCAUUUACAGAGAUACUAAGCUACCUAAUCACUCGGCCCACCAUGAAAUGAGGCACUUUUAUUCCAGCACAGGUUUUCAGACUCAGCUCCACUGCUGCUGAUCAAACAGAUCCCACUGCUGUGGAGGAUCUCAACUGUGCCCCAGCCACCUCCUGCCUGCAGCUGUGCCUCUAUGAGCACUCACGGACCGACACAUCAUCCACAUAAUCGCAGGGGAGGAUGUAAAGUUCCAUCCACCAAGGGAGCCAGGUAAAGCCGGGAAGCCUGAGGAGCGCGCGCUGUGGACCUGGCCUUGCUAACAGGCUCUGGCACUGAGAAUGGAGCCUUUCAGAAGCACACAAUCUUCCUUGGUGCUGGUCUCCAAGGAUUAUCCCACAUUGUCCUUGAGCUGAGGCUUUUCUAUUUUUUGCCAAUAUAGGGGUAAAGUAAUGACCACAGGGAACAAACUGAGCCUGGGAGGAAGGCUCACAGAGGACUAGGGCUUGAAACAGGAGUCCUUCCUAGGCCAGCGUCCAAUGGCUGGUGGAAAGGGUCUCUCAACCUAUGCACUCAUUUCACCUGCUCCCAGCAGGUUCCUGUGUCUCCAAGGUUACUCGUGCUCCCUGCAAAGAGCUGACGCUAACUGAGGCGAGACAGUGGGCUAGGCUCUUGUCCCCUUCCCCAGUGUGGUGGUGGCACUCACAAUAGUAGGUCCUCAAGGUAAGUUUGGUCCACAAAAACAGAUACCCAUAAAAGUGAAAUAGCAUGAAACACUGCUGCGCAGCCCUUGGGCCAUGAUUUGAUUAACAAGAAAUAAUCCCAUUCGAGGCAGAUGGGAACCAGCUCUGAUAUAUACUGGUAAUACUGAUCGGAUACUGUUGUCAAAGAGAAGUAAAUGAGGUAAUGCACAAAACGAAUGCCACACAGUGCCUGGCACAGACUCAAUAAAUGGAAUCGAUUGUAAGGAGUAUCCACAGAUGCUACUAAACAAAUUACAGAAAGUGCACGCCUACAAAUCUAAAUUGUCGGCAUAUGUUCCUUCAUAUGAAGACAAUGGCGUUCUGCUUCCACUAACAAUUCCUAAUUCAUCCAUUUGUUUUGUUCAUUUGUUCUCCGCUGAUUCACAGGAUCCCACCCAGAUAUUAUUAUAAAAAUGUACAAGUCCAAUGAAGACAGAAGUUAGAGAGAAUUCUGUCACUCACUCACUCAUGUCCACAUCAGUAUAUACUAAUGCUCUAACAGUGUAAGCUGUGAGUGUAUUUCAUUUUUAAAGUCUGUAACCUACUGAUUUUAUUGCUCCUAACUGUCUCUGCUUGAGUUUGAAAACUGAACAUACUGGUUCACUGUGGUGGUUCUUAAUCUUUCGGAGAGGAGACUUCUGAGUAUCAAGUAACACCUAAGGCCCUUCUCCCCAGUCACAAACGGACGUAAACACAACAUUUGGUAGACAACACUGGGGGUCAGGGACUCCUGUGUUAUUACAAAGUUAAGCUGUGAGUUUGUACAAGCAUUGUGUAUCAACAGAAGGAAUGUACCUGUGCGACUGCUGAAAAAGAACUCCAACUCCUCAGAAAGCCCAGUCAAGAUGCUGCACAGAUCAUCGGGACAUUUCUUCCCGGAAAACUGGUAUCGUCAAAUUAAUUAGCACCUUCUAAGAAAACUGUCCUUUCGUCCAUUUGUUUUUUUCCUGAUUUCACACCCAGAAAGACUGUAAAAAAAAAUUUGUCAUAUACAGCCCUGAAACUGCUCCCACACAAUUACUUUCAGGGCUGUCUGAUAAUUUAAUACCUAAGAAAAUGUUAAGAAAAAUUCAUUCACAUAAAAUCCUCUUAUAACUGUCAUGAGUGCUUUGGACCACAUAAAGGUAAGACGAGCAAACAGUGAGACGUGUUUGCUUCUGCCCAGGCAAAUGGAACAAAUCAAAUUCCAAGAGUUACCUAAUGCACCAACCUAUGUCACCACAGGUGUCCUCGUUUGGUUAACAGUGAAACAAGACAGCUUUUAAGAGAGAAGCAGGUUUCUUGCACAUGAAGAAUUCCUUAGUGCCACGAUGUAGCUAUUUAGGUGCAGAUCCAAACAGGCCCUUUACUCUUAACUAAUUUGAAACCCACUUAAUUCACUCCACGAUGCAAAAGGAAAAUAUAUGGAUUUUAAGAGAACUUGUUACACAAGAUGGUGAAACUGCUCAUUUUUUUUUUUUUUUAGAAGUGUGCCAACCGGCCAGAGAACGGCAGUUACCACAGAAUGUAUUUUGCUGGUGCCCACCAUUACAAUGGGAUGAACCAAAGGUUGGUGUGCCAGGAAUGUUCCUAUAAUGUUCUCACUUAAUGCUCACAGCAACCUUGUAGGGUAGGUAGCUCAUAUUCCCAUUUUAUAGACAGAAAAAUUAAGGACCAAAACAUGGAGAGUAACCCAUCCGAAGUCACAAUGCAAUUAACUGGUGCAGCUGGUAUGUGAAUCUGGUCUCUUAAUUCCAAAGCUAUGUUCUGGUGUAUCACAAUAAAUUCUGCAUGCUGCACAUCUCCUAACACUCAAGGUAUAGCUGGGUCAGCAACUUUCCCCCUCUCCCCUCCAGCCAACAUACACGCACACUCCAGGCUCAUUUUAAACAAGCUAUCCAUUUUCAAAGUACUGAUCAAUCUGCAUCUAAUGCAAAAGCAACACUGAAGCCCAAGCAGUAUAUUCCCACCCACUAAAAAAAAUUUUUAGGCAGGUUUUUUUUUUAAUGUGCUUAGCAUAGAAACUGAAGGUAGGGGGAAGCACAAGAAUCAUUUGCUAUGAAAACAAAGUUCACCAAUUCCAUGUACUUUCUGACAAUCACCCAUGAGAUUUAUAGGAUCCUGUCUUUAAAACUUAAAAGGGUCAGACAGAAAUUGAGUAAGUAUCACUUUUUCUUGAUUUAAUAUUUUCUGCACUCUACUACAACCCCAAAUUUUAUCUUGGCAUACAAACAGUAAUUUACAUUAUCUUCUAUCCUGAAUUCCUGGAUUUAUAAUAACUAAAAAUAGGUAUUAAGCUUACCACUCAAAUUUGAUCUUAUCAAACAAGCCCAUGACCCACCUAACAAGGGAAGGACACUGUGGAUCACACCUUUAGCAAUUAACAAAAUUCCUAAAAUCAAGUAGAUUUGGAAUCUUAAACCCCUGGUCCAAAAAUCCAAGAUUGAGACCACUGACAACAUAUGAUAUUUAUUAUUAUUAUUGAUACUUUUUCCUUAUUUUCUUGGAUAUCAAAGGGAAAUUAUAAUUUCAACAUUAGUGCUAAUCCUACAAAAAUUACAGUCCAUCGUGUGUAAACAGUCAAGGAGAUUGUUCCACAUAUAAAAGAUCAAAACUACAACUAUUAUCAUCAUGGUGCUGCCCACAGCGUAAACCUGCUACAGAAGAUUAGAAGACUUGGGACCCAGCUAUGACCAACAUUAACAUCGUCAUGGCAAAAGCACCAAGACAAGAGGUGGACAGUAGGAACUCUCAUUUCUCACAGGCCCUUAGACAUUCUGCUUAUGGCCAGUAAUCUCUUUAUUCCAGAGAAGCAGGCUCUGAUAAUCCCAAACAUGAAAGACAAAAAUGUAGCCAACAGAACCAGAAAGGCAUAUCCUACAUCUCAAACUGGCAACAGAAUGAAAACUGAACCUGAGAGGCCAAAUGGUAAAAAGAAUAACAAAAGGCUCAGAAACUGCAUUGUUGCCCAUUCUAAACGGCAUUGCAACUUCAAACAUUGCACAUAAUUCCGUCUUGGGGUUCUAAACAUGGGUGAACAAACCAGUUUGCCUUCAUUUUUCUGGCAUGUGGUGUUUCAGGAAAUCUACAAAAGACUGCCCCAAGAGGUAGGUUUAUAAAUACAAGAAAAAAGAUUGUUUAUCGCUGUAGUUUUCAUUUAAAAAAAAAAAAAAAAAGGGUAGGGGAAUUUUAGCCUAAGCAAUGCUGAAUUAGUUUUCUUUUUAACCGGCCAAUCCUUUGCUACUCUCCAUAACUGGUAACAGACAGCUAAUUCACUAAGAGUGAAAUUAGUUUUUCAUCAUUCAGACACUGAUUAAACUAACAAGAACAUAUAAAAUUGAAAGUCAUGAAAAGUAUCAAAUUAGCAGUAUUUUAGAUGUUAUAUUCUUAUCUUAUAAACUGUUAUUUUUAUAUACCACACACACAGUAUCAUUAUCUUAUUCAUUAGAAUAAAUCUCUUGCCUCUGAAACUAUUCAAAUAGUCUAUUAAAAAUAAAAAAUGGUAUGUACUUUUAAUAUAUAAGCAUCUAAAAUAACUACACGUUGACUAGAUUAUUAAAACUUUCAUCAAAAUAUUUUUAAAUUUCAGGAUCAUGGCCACAGAAGCAGGAAUAGCAAGCAGCUACAAUAAAUGCUCCAGAACACUGAGAAUUUUCUAGUCUCUUACCCAGAAUCCCUUAGGAUAUUUUCUUAAUAUACGCACCAAGUUUUAACCUUUUAAACAAAGUUACCUUCUCCUAUUUUUCAGAGAACAGGUUAGAACAGAAAGAAAAAUGCUAAAGACCUUUGAAAAUUGAAAGCAUAGAUUACAAACUGUAGUUCUGCCUUGCCUACAGUAUGUUUGGGUGGUUGGGGCGGGUGUUAACUACUUACUUUUUUUUUUUUUUUUUUUGAGACAAAGUCUCACUCUGCUGCCCAGGCUGGAGUGCAGUGGUGCGAUCUCGGCUCACUGCAACCUCCGCCUCCCAAGUUCAAGCGAUUCUUGUGCCUCAGCCUCCCGAGUAGCUAGUAUUACAGGCUCCAGCCACCACCACGCCCAGCUAAUUUUUGUAUUUUUAGUAGAGACGGGGUUUUACCAUGUUGUCCAGGCUGUUCUCAAACUCCUGACCUCAGGCGAUCCACCCACCUCUGCCUCUCAAAGUGCUGGGAUUACAGGUGUGAGCCACCGCGCCUGGCUACGACUUACUAAGUCUUAACAAUCAAAUAAAGUACUCUCAGUAAAAGUUCCAAGUAGAAAAAGCCACAUUACAUUUGGCUACAAACUCAAGCAGUUUUAAAAAUUUUAUAUAGACAUACAUAUUCUAAGAAUCUAUUGUGGGAUAAAGACAAUGAGGAAAUCAACGCGUGCCCCUCCUUAGGAAAAUUCAAGAGCACACAUGGAUAGGUUAGGGUGACUCUUUUCACCUUCUGGUCUUCUUUAAUGCUUCUCCUCUGGUAUGAGUCAAGCAGCUAGAAUAGGAAAGCUUUAUCAGCAAACAAAACCUCUUAGGAAGGUACUGCUUCAAAUAGUUCAUGUGCAUUCCUCUUAAAUGAAAGUUAAAAAAAAAAAAAAAAAAAAAAGCUAUCCACCUCUGCAAAUAAACAUUUUGGCAAAACAAAUAAAAAACAAAAUGUCACCACCUAAAGCUGAAAAGACUAACAAGCAUGAUGUAACUCAAUUAUAUCCACAAACAAAUCAGAAUUGCACUUACAGUUUCUGUAAUUAAUCUUUAGACUACACAUUAAUUAAAAAGCAUGUUCAUUGUCUAUAUAACAUUCAGCUUAAGAAAACUUUAAAAUGUGUAUUUUUAUUGGUGGAACAACCAGACUGUUAACCCAGUCUCAACACAAGACCAGUGCUGCAGAGCUGACAGCUAAAGCUUCUCAUCAAUAAGACAAAAUGAAAGAGCUCUAUAAUCCUAAACUCGAUCCUCUGCACUGCAGAGGGAGUUAGGCAAAAGCAAUGUCUUACUGUGCUCUUUUGGUUUCAAAACUAAUGCCAAAAUAAUAUAAAACCUAAGAGAAAGAAAAUAUUCAUUAGAAACUUAAACCAACAAAUAUGUCAUUUAAAAAACACUUGAAAGACAAUAGCUAGAAAGCAGUAAAAAUGCAAUCUGUGUUUUUAAAAACUAUUUGGGGUGUUUGAAGGAAUACAAUAUACCUAUGCAAUCCAUAAAUCUCCAAAGCAAAAACAGCUGAAGGUGUCACCAUGACUGGUCUCUCCUACACCAAACACUUCACUUAAUCAUAGUCUUGGUAUUUAGAAUUAAAGUGGGCACUUCUUACAGUGAGCAGUGAAAAUUCACCUUGGCUAGUUAGUAAAGCAAAUAAAACACUGCAAUUUAUACAGUAUAACUGUCCUACUUAGAAACAUCAUGCAUAAAAACUGGAUUUAGACAGACAGAGCCUUUUAUUUAGGACCUGUGUGAACUCGGCCAAAGCACAUAACCCCUCGGAGCAUCAGUUUCCUCUUCUACAAAUGAGGAUAUGGAUCUCAACUUCGCAGGAUUAUUGGGAGGAUUAGCUAUGGUAUACACAGAGCAACCAACAUAAUGCUAGAAACGAGUGUAACUGCUGUCAUUGUCACCAUCAACAGAAGUGAGCAAUUCAUGGCAUAAUGACAUGAUGUGCAAAUAAGUGUCAAGUCAUGACAUAUGUCCACAUCAAAAUACAUUGUAAUAAAUGAAUUCAUCCAAGAACUCUUGUAAUGUAUGAAAACUGGUUUAAUCUGGGUGGCAAAAAGAAAAACAGCUACUUGCAGUAUUUCUCUUUUUCACUUAGAGAAUAGCAUUUUCAAGUAACUUUUGUUUCUCCAUGUCAUUCAGCUCCUCUAAACUAUUUCAACCAAAUUAGGAAUAUUAAUAAAACACUCUGAGCCAGAUGGAUGGUCAAAAUAAAACUUCAGGCCUGUACUUGGCAGCAUGUGAAAUAUAAACAAGCCAUCUGAAUGCCAACAAAGUACCAUGCCAGUCUACCUGAAACUUCAGCUUCAGUUCACCAUACAACAUUUAACUAAAAGAAAAGUCUAUUUUUAACCUCCACAAUGGUGUUCUUGGGAUAUUUAUCCAAGCCCUCAAUUCUUUUUUUUUUUUUUUUUGAGAAGGAGUCUCGCUCUGUUGCCCAGGCUGGAGUGCUGUGGCGCAAUCUCGGCUCACUACAAGCUCUGCCUCCCGGGUUCACGCCAUUCUCCUGCCUCAGCCUCCGGAGUAGCUGGGACUACAGGCGCCCGCCACCACGCCCAGCUAAUUUUUUUGUAUUUUUUUUUUUUUUUUAGAAGAGACAGGGUUUCACCAUGUUAGCCAGGAUGGUCUCGAUCUCCUGACCUUGUGAUCCACCCGCCUCAGCCUCCCAAAGCGCUGGGAUUACAGGUGUGAGCCAUUGCGCCCAGCCUCCAAUUCCUCAAUUCUUUAGAGGCAACUUUAAAUACAAAGCUACACCCUGUACAAGCCUGUAAUACCAGCUAUUAGGGAGGCUAAGGCAGGGAGACAGCUUGAGCUCAGGAGUUCGAGUCCAACCUGGGCAACACAGAAAGACCCUGUCUCUACAAAAUAAAUAAACUUUAAAAGUUAUUUUAUUGAAAAAUAAAAUAACUACACCCUCCUCUCUAUAAUGCUCCCACGAACAUUAGGUUUGAAUGUCGUAACAGCUAUCUGUAAACUGGAACAUGAAAUUGUCUAGGGAAAAAAAAACACUGAACGAGUUUAAAAAAAAACAAUAAAAAUUCAUCAUUUAGAAAAAUAACCUAGUGUUCAUAUUUAAGGAAAACACAGGAAAUUAGGUUUUUUACUUUCAAAUUAUAAGUGGAUUUGUAAAAAUCAACUAAAGUAUUUUGAACUAACUAUAAGGAUCUUGUUACCUCUUUUAUAUAGUUUAGAAAAUUUAAUCAUAAUCGAACUUUAUUUCUGUAUUAGGCAAGUCUUACCUUCCAAUUUACAUAUGGACAAGAGAACCAAAAUAACCACCUAAAAAUAGGGCACAGCAUGGUUCCCAAUACACUCAAUUAUGAUAUUUAAAACUUUUUAAUCAUGGCAUAUGUUAGGAUUUUUGCAAAUCCACCCACUAAAAUACAGCUAAAAAAUUUGCAAAAUGCUUUGAAAAAUUUACGUUAAUCCACAUAAUUUCCCUGUAAACAAGGAUAGACAUAAGAAUCAAAGGCACAAAACGAAAAUACUGACCAACAUUUUCAUCUAAAUUUGGAGCAAUUCAGUAGCAGCAGCAGAACUGCAAAUUUUUUAUAAUUCCCGAACUCCUACUGUUGAAAAACUACUAAUUAAAACCGUACUGAGCUUUUAAAAACAGACCGCCACCAUAACAGCAGCAGAGUUCAUCCUGGCAGGCAACCACCAGAGACGGGACAUUCAAUGCUCAGCAAAGGCACCCUCAGCUAGGAGGCAGCCAGAAAGCUACAGCAGAGACAGGCCCCUCCAAGACUGACCAACCCAGAAACAGCUCAUUUGUGUCUCAUGCCACAAGCUUGCCAGCAAAAAGCCAGACACAGGAAUACUGCCAUGUCCAAGCACUCCACAUCCUGCUCCAGCACCUGCAAACAGGAACCACAGGCCAGUGCCCUAUAAGUCAGUGGGCACAGGACCUGCCCACCAGGCACCCAGUAGGCAUAGGGCCCAUCUACCAUCAUCCUCAGACACCACAGCCAGGCCUCUGUCAUUCAGCUUAGAGCCUGAAACAGAGCUGCUGGCUGCUACGAAAGGUUAGGAGAUCAAACUCCACGGAAGCCCGUCCACUCUCUGCUUUUAUUAAAUGUAUUCUCUAAGUUCAACUUUAAAUGGAACCAAUGCUGUCACUUCUGUUGUUGUCAACUGCAUGUAGGAGUGGACAAAAAGCUCCACAUUAUGUAGAAGAAAAGGCAUGGGAAAACUGGUUCAAAUUCUGACUGUGACACUCAUUGGUAGGGUGAUCUUGGACAAGUUAUCCAAUUUUGGAAAGUGUCCUUUUCCUUCUCUCCCACAUCAACCAGAACACCCACUAAGUCUGACCUGUGCGUGGCUGUCAUGAAACGGACUGGAGACUCCGCACUGGAGGAGGAUGCUGCCUGCUGUAGUCAUCUCUCUCAUCUCCCCCACCAACCAACCCAGCCACUUGGUGCAGCGCCUGGCAGAAAAAGGGCCAAUAUAUGUCCAUUUGCAGAACUGAGUUUCAUAAUCCAAAAAUACUCAUGUAGGUUUCUACAUGAGUAGAACUGCUAAUAGAACUAGGUCCCUCUUCCUGGAGACCUCAGCCCCUAGAACUUCCUGUGUCACUUAUGUCACAACCUCAGAAUGGUCACCCCUGAUCUCCCACCUACAGUCAGGCCAUACCUCCUCCACCCACCCUGCAAAACACUACUGACAUGACAAGGUUUACCUACUUCAUCUGUUGGCCUGUACUCCCCACUCUCCAGAAUGUGAUUCCAUGUGAACAGGGACCCUUGUCAUUUUAGUUCUUUGCUGAAACUCCAGCACCCAGAAUAGUGCCUGACACAGAUGCAAGGAAUACUUGUUAAGUAACAGAAGGGAAGACCAUCCACACAGUCACAACUUCUCAGUCCCCAAGGUUCCUCUUGAUGUCCUCCUCCUUCCUCUCUCUCUUCUGAAACAUCCCCAUCCUGCCACUCUUUCUACAUAAAGGCUCCCUAGCCAGCCCAGCCCAGCUCAGCAUCCCUUUUUCCUUCUCUUAGGGAGGGUCAAUAGUCCUUACUGCCUAUACCAUCCGUGUUGCACUUUUUUUAGACUACCUUAGACUGAGUUAUCUUUGCAUGUGGCUGUCUUACCUCCCUAUAUUUUAAGUUUCUAAAGGCUUGUUAUUUCGCACCUUUAGAGAAGAAUUUCAAAUAUGUACAAUUUCAAAAAACUUGAGUGUCGUCACAGUACCAAGGUUUUUAAUUUAAACAAUUCUGAUCGUAGAGACAGAUAAAAUAUUACUUUGCUAAGCUGAUUAUAAUUUAACUGUUCUGUGGUGACUAAGAGUCGCUGAGAUAAAUACUUAUAAGCUAUAGCUGAUAUUCUCAGGCACUACUGACGGUUUUUAGGAAGGACUAUCUGAACCUACUAACUGACCUUAAGGAACUUGUUCUUUAUAAUUCAUUACCGAUUUUGUAAUAAACUUUCUGUCUUCUUCACUAUCCAGCUUUCAGGUAUAAAAACUUCUUGCCGCUAUAAACUCUUCUCUCUUAAUUUGCUGUGAACAGCGAGGUCAAUAGGUUAGAACCUAAAAUAAGGGUGAAUCAGCACAGAAUGAGGCUGUGACGUAGGAGGGAAGAGGGAAAGAAGAGACCCAGUGCUUAUUUUGGGCUUACACAGGUGCUCCAUAAAUCCCCAUUGAUUAAAUGAGUCACCAACUCAGUAGUUCCUCCGCAAGUAGCAGGGAAGUAAACGCCAGCCAUGUUCUAAGGAGUGGUACUUACAGUUCCCAAGAGCCCACAGCUUCACAGAGCAUGUUUCUAUUAUCUCACUUGCUCUUGACAACUUUGUGAGGUUAGGUGGCACAAGCAUCAUCGAUAUGAUGAUAUUCAUUUUUAAGGCUAGGGAAACUUCAUCUCAGAAAGGUGACAUGAGCUGUCCAAGAUCGCACACCUGGUAAACGCCCAGGCAUCCCGUCUUUUUCAUUCCUUCCACUAAGCCCAUUUGUAGAAAGCCACUGUUGUUUCUCCAGGUAAAAGAACUUCAGGUUAAGGCUCUUAUGUAACUGAGAGAGCAGGGAAAACACUCUGCUAUUAUAAUCUACACUCUGGAAGAGCAUUUGCCAACAGUCAUUGCUUACUGCUAACAAGCAAAUUCAAUUUCUCAUUUCUCACCAAAACAAACAGGGGACAGAAAUCAAGAAGAUGAGAAAUACUUCUAAAUUUGACCGUUUCUAUGCUAUUUUAUAAUUAUAAUUUUUCUGUGGUUCACAUUAAAAUAGCCUGAAACACCUGACACUAAAAACCCUCCUUGCUCUCUACCUGAAAGAUUAAUCUAUUCCAUCUAAGGAACUUAUUUUCCAUUUUACAGAGGCUGCUCAGAUAUGUAAAAAGUGAAGCUCAAUUACAAAUCUGGGAAUCCAAAUUAAAGUCCAGUUUAAAAUGCUGAUGUAUAUCCAUCUUUGGCCCAUGGCAAAAAUGCACGCUCCAAGGUCGCAGACAAUAUGAACUGUGUUCUCAUAGCACUGCAUUCUUUUCCUUCCUAACACAUUUGUGUGAGUCAUUGCCAAUCAAUGAAUAUUUAUUGAGGGCCUACUACAUGCCAACUGUCUAGGCACUGAUCAGCUAUUUACUGAUUUAACGUUUGUCGGCGCCAUAAGAAGAGUCGCCGCUGCUUUUUUGCUCAUCACUGUGUGCUACAACCCAGCAGAGUGCCUAGUACACAGCAGGGGCUCAAUAAACAUUAGAUGAAUGAAUGAAUAUGGGGAGGGGAGGGGAGGGGAGGAGAGAAGAAAGGUGAUGAGGGGAGAGAGAAGGGGCCACUACUUUGUAUAUAAAGAAAUCAGGGCUUUGCUCUACCCAAACACGCCUUAUGAUCCACCAGCGAUCUGAUGAAUUCUGAAAGGCACCACAUGCAAUGCACAGCUGUAAGUAUAGCAGCUGUCACGCAAAGGAGCUGAGGUCCAGAACUAUGAAGAAUUCAGCCCUUUGUUUUUCUCUCUGUCUCAUAACGAAAAUGAAGUCAAGCCCACUGUCAAUCUACCUGUCGGCUCUAUGUAUUCAACAUGCGGCUUUCAGCAAUACUAAGUUAACACUGCCUCUGAAUGACAUUUAUGUUGAUUCACUCUCUGACAUCACUGCCUGAAAAGAUAUUAUUUAAAUGUUUGAGGUCACACAUAAGACCUAAACAGAACUGAGUUAAUUAAAAAAAAAAAAAAAGACUCCAUUUCAGGUCUUUGCAAGCUAUAAAUUGGUUUUAACUGAGUAUUUAAUUUAAAAGUAAAAAAGGUUUGACUCAUUACUUAAACUCUCCAAAGUUUAAGUCUUAAAGAGCAAAUAGGUCUCUUUAACCAGUAAGCUGUUAAAAACAGACUGUAAGUUCCAACAGAGAGCUCUGCAUAAACAUAAGUCUUUUAAUUAAUUAAAACCUAGGAUUCUGGGUUAUAGGCUGCCCAGAGUAGUACAAAAUAAUAGGAUAAUAAGAAAUAUGAACUAUUUAAUACGAAACACCAACAGUCUACGCAGGUAUAAAAAUGCAGCUAUUAAGUUCAUAUAUCACUAAUAAAACAAAAAGUAUAUGUUCAAGUUUUUCCCCAAAUCCAACCAAGAGAAAAAUAAACAGAUAAACAAAAAAGCAAAAGAGUAAUGACAUAUGUUCUAAACAUGCACACUAAAGUAUGCCAAACAGAGAAAAGCGUUAAAGUAAGGUUGCUAUUAAACUACAAAUCUAUUUAAGUACAGGAGUUAGUUAUGAUUAGUGGCACAGUAAAGAGGGUACUGUCCUCCCCAUCUCCAGCCCCCUACAAAUAACUUACCCGGAAGGCUGGUAACAUUAGUUAUAAACAAAAUGAAUACUAAAUAAAGAAACAAGUUGAAUUACAUAAAAAGUUUUCACUACAAACAGUUAAGCACUAAGCCUAAUAGCAAUAAAAUCCCAGAACUCAGUUAAAAGUUAAAAAAAAAAAAAACUGGGAAUUUUCUAGACUCUGAUCGUCUGAUUCAGGAUCAAAAGCAUUUAAUGCUCUGAAGCAGUGACUACAUCACAUUCAAUAAAUAGACAAUGCAUAUUCAGUAAUAGGCCUACUAACUGUUUCACGGGGGAAUUAAUUCUAUUUCCAUUUUGUGGUGACAUACAAAGAAUACAUACUUGAAAAAUCAGAACAGACUUCUUGCCUACAUUCCUUAAUGCCGAUUUUAACAUUUUCCCAAAUCGAGUUUACGAUAUGAUUUUAUUUACAGUAUGACUUCCACAACUCACUUUGCAAUGUUCUGGAUAAAGGAUGGACUCGUUCGUUCAGAUGACUAAAAAGAAAUCUACUUAAGACCUAAGGAGAGCAAAAAAAAAACAAAAAAACAAAAAAACAAAAAACACAAACCUGUAUUUGUAUCAAUAAGAAACUAACCAUACUGUGCCUUGGCAUAUUUUCAAACUGGGAUCUAUGAACUAUUCCCCAAUUCACAUUAAAAUUCUUCAUUAAAAAAAAAAGCCCCAACGUGUCAGUAUGCCCACUGGAAAUAUGAUACAGCCAACCAAACUAUUUUCCUACCCAGAAAUUAUCCCCUCCCUUUUUAAGUGUGACUACACUUUACCUUUUGUUCGAAAUCAUCAGAAGUCGUAAAACUAUGAGAAUUGAGUCAAAACGACAAAACAACACGCUCUCUAACUUCCACAUCCCCCUGGGCAUCCUUUCG